RNAcentral lists this transfer RNA (86 nucleotides) under Acidimicrobiaceae bacterium. RNAcentral's name for it is "tRNA-Leu". It matches the Rfam family "tRNA". Rfam says of the family: Transfer RNA (tRNA) molecules are approximately 80 nucleotides in length. Their secondary structure includes four short double-helical elements and three loops (D, anti-codon, and T loops). RNAcentral also lists the same sequence under 3 other names. Lineage: Bacteria; Bacillati; Actinomycetota; Acidimicrobiia; Acidimicrobiales; Acidimicrobiaceae. The record is from RNAcentral.
GCCCGAGUGGCGGAAUGGCAGACGCGACGGACUCAAAAUCCGUUGUCCGAAAGGGCGUGUGGGUUCGAGUCCCACCUCGGGCACCA